AGGAAACAAGAGCAUAUGGUGGAUGCCUUGACUCUAAAAGGCGAUGAAGGACGUGGCUUGGCUGCGAUAAGCUUCGGGGAGGUGCCUAGCGACCUUUGAUCCGGAGAUCUCCGAAUGGGGAAACCUCAUCCACUGAAAGUGGAUGACUUCGAUUUAUUUCGAAGAGCGAACCCAGGGAAGUGAAACAUCUCAGUACCUGGAGGAACAGAAAACAAUGUCACCUAGUGACGACAUUCCCUAAGUAGCGGCGAGCGAAAAGGGAGGAGCCCAAACCCAUCACUUCGGUGGUGGGGGUUGUAAGGUAACAACGUAGUUUUACUAGAGAAGUCAAAAAAUACAAUGUUAGUUGAAGUUGUUGGAAAGCAACGCCAAAGGAGGUGAUAGCCCUGUAAGCGAAAACAUUGAAUCUUCUUUGUUGUUAUUCUUGAGUAUCUCAAGACACGAAUAGCUUGAGAGAAUCUGCCAGCACUAACUGGUAAGGCUAAAUACUUUUAGAGAUCGAUAGUGAACUAGUACCGUGAGGGAAAGGUGAAAAGUAGUCCGAUUAGGACAGUGAAAUAGACCUGAAACCAUAUGCUUACAAGUAGUGGGAGUGGGCAUCACAUUGCAUGUGAUGCCGAAUUAUGAAUAAAGAAUUAUGAAUUAUGGGGGAAAUUUGCUUCGCAAAUUUCCCAUUCCUGAUUCAUAUUUCAUGAUUCGGACAUCAUGCGUAGUGUGAUGUCCAUGACCGCGUGCCUAUUGAAGAAUGAGCCAACGAGUUUAUAUAUAUUGCUUAGCUAAACCAUACAGUGGUGGAGCUCUAGGGAAACCGAGUAUUAAUAGUGCGAAAUUUGUAGUAUGUAUAAGACCCGAAACCAAGUGAGCUUGCCAUGAGCAGGGUGAACCCCGCAGAAAUGUGGGAGGAGGCCCGAACCGGUUGGUCGUACAAUUCCAUCGGAUGACUUGUGGUAAGGAGUGAAAAGCUAAUCGAACUUGGUAAUAGCUGGUUCUCUCCGAAAUAGCUUUAGGGCUAGCGUCGUGUGUACCUUUUGGGGGUAGAGCACUGGAAGGUUUAAAUAGGGGGAAACCUCGUUAAACCUAUCAAACUCCGAAUACCAAAAGUAAAUUACGCGGCAGUUAGACUACGGGGGCUAAGCUCCGUUAGUCGAAAGGGAAACAGCCCAGAUCUCUAGAUAAGGUCCCUAAAUCUACACUAAGUGCAAACUAAGGAUGUGAAAUCUCAUAGACAAUCAGGAGGUUGGCUUAGAAGCAGCCACCCUUUAAAGAAAGCGUAACAGCUCACUGAUCAAGAGGUCUCGCGCCGAAAAUAAUCGGGGCUAAGUGUAGUACCGAAUCUGAGGAUUCAUGAUUACUUCGGUAAUUGUGAGUGGUAGGAGAGUAUUCCACUCCGCAUUGAAGCCAAAGGGGUGACCCAUGGUGGAGCGUGUGGAAGUAAGAAUGUUGGCACAAGUAACCGCAACGCGGGUGAGAUCCCCGCGCGCCGAAAGACUAAGGUUUCCUUGGCAAUGAUAAUCAACCAAGGGUUAGUCGGGCCUAAGGCAAUGGCGAAAGCCGCAGCCGAUGGACACAUGGUUAAUAUUCCAUGACUUCUAUAUUGUUCGAUGGGAGGACGGAGUUUAGUAUGUAUCGCGUAUUAUUGGAUUUACGUUCGUACUGUAGGGAGGAUGUGUAGGAAAAUCCGCACAUCAUUAACUCCGAGCAGCGCGAAAAUUCUUCACUUCGGUGAAGGAAAUGAUGCAAAGCAAGCUUCCAAGAAAAUUCUCUAAGGAUAACAAUACAGAAUCCGUACCGUAAACCAACACAGGUAGUCAGGUCGAGAAGACCAAGGCGAACGAGUGAGAGGUCCUCAAGGAACUCGGCAAAAAAGCAGCCGUAACUUCGGAAUAAGGCUUGCCCGAGCAUCUCACUGUCGUGAAAUGCGGAAUAAUGAAGCAUGAAGCAAGAAUAAUGAAAUUAAAAUUUGCGAAGCAAAUUUUUUAUAAUUCAUAAUUCGUUAUUCAUAAUUCUGCAACGAACGAGAGUGAGAUGCUUGGGCCGCAGCGAAAGUAUCCCUGGCGACUGUUUAUCAAAAACACAGCUCCCUGCGAACUAGUAAUAGGAUGUAUAGGGGGUGACGCCUGACCAAUGCCAGAAGGUUAAAUACGGGGGGUGCGUAUCUCAGUAUUCAUAAUUAUUGUGAACACUGAGAUGCGUGCUGAUCUGUAUAAGCCCUGGUGAAUGUCGGCCGUAACUAUAACGGUCCUAAGGUUUACUACGUUUACAAUUUGUAAGUGUAGUGAAGGACUGGGACUGUUAUUCAGUGAUAAACAGAUACGCAAGUUACCUUCCACACAGUAAUGUGUGAGUAGUCCAGUAACGAUUAAAUAGAGACCAACGUCGUUGCCCUACCUUGAAAAAGGAGGGAUAAGAUAGAGUCCAUGAUGUGUUUUAAGGAAUUCAUGAGCGAAAUUCCUUGUCUGGUAAGUUCAGACGUGCACGAAUGGCGUAACGACUGGGGAACUGUCUCGAGGACUUGCUCGGUGAAAAUACAAUGCCGGUAAAGAUGCCGGCUACCCACAGCUAGACGAAAAGACCCUAGAAGCUUUACUAUAGCUUGAUAUUGGUUAUGUUGUUUAACUGCGUAGAAUAGGCGGGAGACUUUGAAGGACAGUUUUUGGAUUGUCUGGAGUCGCCAGUGAAAUACCGCUCUUUUAGACGGCAUACCCUAAUCCUUACGGUAAAAACGUAAAGAGACAGUAUCUGGUAGGUAGUUUGUUUGGGGCGAAUCCCUCCUAAAGAGUAACGGAGGGGCCUAUUAAGGUCAGCUAGGCGCGAAUGGAAAUCGUGCCGAUAGUGUAAUGGCAUAAGCUGGCUUGACUGUAAGACGUACAUGUCGAGCAGGUGCGAAAGCAGAGCAUAGUGAACUGUUAGUACGCAUUAGAUGCGGCUAACAAUCAACGGAUAAAAGCUACUCUAGGGAUAACAGGCUAGUUCCGCCUAAGAGUUCAUAUCGACGGCGGAGUUCGGCACCUCGAUGUCGGCUCAACUUAUCCUGGGGCUGGAGAAGGUCCCAAGGGUUUGGCUGUUCGCCAAUUAAAAAGUUACGCGAGCUGGGUUCAAACCGUUCAGGAGCUAUAAUAAUGGCUUUUGAAUAGUUUGAAUCCCUUCGAGAUUUUUGUUUAUGCAAAAGAAAUAGGAACACAACCUUUCACGGCGGUCAUAAAGAGUAAUCUUUAUGUCUAAAGUUGACUUAUAUCGGUGAAACCCUGAUUAGAAUCCAGGGCAAUACCGAGGGAAUUCAUAUAUUUUUAUUAUAUGAGGCCCGUAGAGACUGAAUGUCAACCUCCUUUAUGUAUUAAAGGAUGAAGUUACAGUCCGUGCCAUGUAGUAAUACAUGGGAAAAUCAUGCGUGAGACAGGUUGGUCUCCUAUCUGCUGUGGGCGUUGAUUCUUGAGAAGAUCUGCUUCUAGUACGAGAGGACCGAAGUGGACUGACCUCUGGUGUAUCGGCUGUCGUGCCAACGGCAUUGCCGAGUAGCUAUGUUGGGAAUGGAUAACCUCUGAAAGCAUCUAAGAGGGAAGCCAACUUCAAGAUAAGGAAUCGUUGAGAAUCCUAGGAGAUGACUAGGUUGAUAGGCUCUAAGUGUACGCACAGUAAUGUGUUCAGCUGAGGAGUACUAAUUAUUCGAU
Molecule: ribosomal RNA, 3668 nt
Filed under: Candidatus Wolfebacteria bacterium
Lineage: Bacteria; Candidatus Wolfeibacteriota
Description: bacterial LSU rRNA
Rfam family: Bacterial large subunit ribosomal RNA
Source: RNAcentral